UGGCCAGGAACCUUCCUCCCAGUAUAUCAGACUCUCCAGGCUCCCAGCCUGUUCUUGAUCCUGCUCCAGCCUCAGCCUUGUCUGUGCCCUGUUACUGACUCACUCCAGCCCUGUUACUGACCCAAUCCAGCCUUGCCUCCACUUCUUGACCCUUCGUGGACCUUUGGACUCUGACUACCCAGCUUCGAACUUCGGCCUGUAUUUGCCCCAGCUACCAUACUGAUUUGGCUUGUCCCUGGAUUCUGACUGCCUGACUUCGACCUCUAGCUUGCACCUUGUCUCCGGCUGUGGCAGGCCUUGGAAAAAGAGACUGUACUUUCUGGAUUCCCUCUCAGGCCCUCAGGAGAGGAACAUUGCUGAAAUUCAGACUUUCCAUGAGCAGCAUUUGGGUGUGUGCAGCUGUCCGCUCAUGAGGCUAGCAAUGGAAUAUCCAGCUAAAUAUGCCACCAGGAAACAAGUUUGAAGUGGAAGGGCUGAAGCAUUGUAAAGAAAGUCAGUUCUUGUGGUAGUUCUAGCCUGACAAAGAGCAAGAAGCAUGCAUCAUAAAUCUCCUGAGAAGACUGCCAGGGAGAGAUUUCCACUCCACUUCUGGAGAAGCAAGACGUUUGGCUCAAGUUCAGCCCUCAGCUUGACUCCCUCAAAAUGUUUUAAAGAGCAUCCAUACCUGAAGCCAGAAGAGCCACGUGUCAAGGGAAUGAAGACUGCUCCAGGUUGCAUUGGAUGUGGGAAACCAGCAGCGUCUACAUGGAGAAUUAGGGAACAUCUGCCCAACAUGGGAUCCCUAGAGAGCCUUUCCAGCAUCUCCUGGGUGAUCCCACAGUCUUCCCCCACCUUGUUCAUGGUGGAUGUUGCUUUUGGGACCUCAUUUGCAGGCAACAUUGUGCUGUGGCCCAGGUUAUCCUUCACGUGAGCACCACUCCUGUUCUCAAUGUUCAGCUUCUCUUGCAUUGAGUGUUGUUAUUUCAUUGGUAAGGUCAUAGGGGAGAGCAGACAGCAUAUGAGCCUCACUGUCUCAUUAGCAACGGGCUCCCACUUGAACCUCACAUCUGCAGAGCUGGCUGCCCAUCUGAAUUUUAUGGCUUGGCCUCUCAUCCAGCGUGACACCAUUUCUCCUGAAUGCUGACUUCUGGUGGUUAGUUGCAAGGAGAGUUUAGUCUGGGAAGCCAACAGGAGCUGCUCAGUCUUCAGUGCUUUUGAAAAAUCAGGCCACUUAUGUAGGCACAUUAAGAUGGACUUGGUAACCUAAGCUUAAAUGCCCAUUUUGGAACAUCUUGGCCAUGCUAUCUUUUUUUUUUUUUUUUUCCCCCAGAGAACAAGCAGCCUCUGAGCUAGGAGGUGGUGUCACGUGGGAUAGAGCCUGCCUUACCAUGGGGGAAAGUGUUAAACCUUAUAGGAAAUAUAUAAAACAUACAUGGCAAAACCAAGUUUACUAUUUAAAUUGCCCUCUUAAAAUGGGGCAACCCCUGCACAGACACACACAAAUAAAAAUGCCCCGCUGCCAAUAUAAAUAUAUCGGGAACCUUUUCUGACCAGGCAAACACCCAGCUUGUUCUUGGUUCUAACACUGGUUACUUUAUAUGGCUAUUGAGUGAUUGGUCAUUCUGUGUUUGUACAGCACCUAGCACAAUUGGGGUCUAUUGAGUGGGGUCCAUGACUGAGGUGCUAGAAUAAUAUAAAUAAUAAUAGUGCACCUUCUGCGUGGGGCUAAUGGCCAGCCAGGUAUUUGCUGCCUUCCCUCUGUGCAGACAGAGCAAACGCUGUCUGCAUAUGAGCCUGGUGAACAAGGUGAAAGAAUAACAGCUGUAAUAAAAAGAAAAGGAGUACUUAUGGCACCUUAGAGACUAACAAAUUUAUGCAUCUGAUGAAGUGAGCUGUAGCUCACGAAAGCUUAUGUUAAAUAAAUUGGUUAGUCUCUAAGGUGCCACAAGAACUCCCUUUCUUUUUGAGAAUACAGACUAACACGGCUGCUACUCUGACAGCUGUCAUAAAUUAGCCAGUUGCACCUCCUUGUGGUACAGAGUGGUGCAUGCGCUAGUGAGCUGAACAACUCUGUCCUUCAAAGACCCACUUCCGACAGUGCAUCAUCUACUCAUUUGUAUAUAAACGCUUGAUUGUUGUUCCCUUUCCCCUAAUCUCUAUCUAUUUGUCUGUCUUUAGACUGUGAGGUUCUUGGGGCAGGGACUGCCCCUUCUUCAGUGUGUGCAAAGCCUCUACUACAUUCAUCUUGGAUGCUGCUA
Chelonia mydas (Green sea turtle) is the source of this 2237-nucleotide long non-coding RNA. RefSeq lists it as uncharacterized. The transcript is spliced from 4 exons. The record is from RefSeq and is a predicted model, not a curated record. NCBI's taxonomy places the organism in Eukaryota, Metazoa, Chordata, Testudines, Cheloniidae.